Strigops habroptila (Kakapo) is the source of this 226-nucleotide long non-coding RNA. RefSeq lists it as uncharacterized. The transcript is spliced from 3 exons. NCBI's taxonomy places the organism in Eukaryota, Metazoa, Chordata, Aves, Psittaciformes, Psittacidae. The record is from RefSeq and is a predicted model, not a curated record.
UCAAGGUCAGUUGAGGGUGACCUGAGAACAGUUCUGCUGCUGCUGGCUUUUCCUAUGACUUUAUUCUCCGCUGAUGAUCAUGAUAGCACAUCUCUUCUUUUCAAAGCCCAGACUGGUGGAGAUAGGCAUCUAGCUGAUGUGCUGUAGAAGUGUUAUCUAGCAGGUAACAGCAUAUAAUUGAGUUCAUUGGCUGUUUUCCCCCAGAAUUAAAUCCCCUUGAGGUACA